Molecule: small RNA, 140 nt
Filed under: Stanieria cyanosphaera
Lineage: Bacteria; Bacillati; Cyanobacteriota; Cyanophyceae; Pleurocapsales; Dermocarpellaceae
Also listed under: 1 other name
Description: c-di-AMP sequence
Rfam family: c-di-AMP riboswitch aptamer (ydaO/yuaA leader)
About the family: This family represents a conserved RNA structure found upstream of the ydaO and yuaA genes in Bacillus subtilis and related genes in other bacteria. The ydaO/yuaA element is thought to act as a genetic "off" switch for the ydaO and yuaA genes in its native state. It is believed that the element may be triggered during osmotic shock leading to activation of ydaO, a predicted amino acid transporter gene, and members of the yuaA-yubG operon which code for KtrA and KtrB K+ transporters.
Source: RNAcentral
UAAGUAAGUCAGCUUAAUUUCCUAACUUCAAGGAAAACGGAGGAACCGAUUUAGGGGCAUAUCUCUAUAGUUUAGUUAGAGAAGAACAUCUCUCAGUUCUAGCCCGUCAGCUAACUUCGUCGGCAUUGAGAGGAGACUGA